GCAUCGGUGGUGCAUGGUGUGCACUGCCCUAAAGUAGGAAGACUUUCAGUUGCAGAAUGUCAGGCAGAGUCCAGACCGGGGUUCGACUCCCCGCCGGUGCA
Mycena rebaudengoi is the source of this 101-nucleotide non-coding RNA. Lineage: Eukaryota; Fungi; Basidiomycota; Agaricomycetes; Agaricales; Mycenaceae. The record is from the annotation of a GenBank genome assembly.